RNAcentral lists this ribosomal RNA (253 nucleotides) under uncultured bacterium. RNAcentral's name for it is "partial 16S ribosomal RNA". It matches the Rfam family "Bacterial small subunit ribosomal RNA", at positions 524 to 776 of the family's 1533-position model. The record is from RNAcentral.
UACGUAGGGUGCGAGCGUUAAUCGGAAUUACUGGGCGUAAAGUGUGCGCAGGCGGCCGCGCAAGUCGAGUGUGAAAUCCCCGAGCUUAACUUGGGAAUUGCGCUCGAAACUACGUGGCUGGAGUGUGGCAGAGGAAGGUGGAAUUCCACGUGUAGCGGUGAAAUGCGUAGAGAUGUGGAGGAACACCGAUGGCGAAGGCAGCCUUCUGGGCCAACACUGACGCUCAUGCACGAAAGCGCGGGGAGCAAACAGG